UGGGGAAUAUUGGACAAUGGGCGCAAGCCUGAUCCAGCAAUGCCGCGUGUGUGAAGAAGGCCUUCGGGUUGUAAAGCACUUUUAUCAGGAACGAAAAGCGUGGGGUUAAUACCUUUACGUGCUGACGGUACCUGAGGAAUAAGCACCGGCUAACUUCGUGCCAGCAGCCGCGGUAAUACGAAGGGUGCAAGCGUUAAUCGGAAUUACUGGGCGUAAAGCGUGCGUAGAUGGUUUGUUAAGUCGGAUGUGAAAGCCCCGGGCUCAACCUGGGAACUGCAUCCGAUACUGGCAGACUAGAGUGUGGUAGAGGAUGGCGGAAUUCCCGGUGUAGCGGUGAAAUGCGUAGAGAUCGGGAGGAACAUCCGUGGCGAAGGCGGCCAUCUGGACCAACACUGACGUUGAGGCACGAAAGCGUGGGGAGCAAACAGGAUUAGAUACCCCAGUAGUCCCUGAGCGGGCUGGCAAGGCGC
This 470-nucleotide ribosomal RNA is filed under the name uncultured bacterium. Its description in RNAcentral is "bacterial SSU rRNA". It matches the Rfam family "Bacterial small subunit ribosomal RNA", at positions 355 to 823 of the family's 1533-position model. The record is from RNAcentral.